Molecule: long non-coding RNA, 201 nt
Organism: Sapajus apella (tufted capuchin)
Lineage: Eukaryota; Metazoa; Chordata; Mammalia; Primates; Cebidae
Exons: 3
Source: RefSeq, a predicted model, not a curated record
GGGAGGGGUUCGGGCGCGGGAGCUGGGGAGGAGAAGACGGAAGUGGAACGAGGACAAAAUGGCUGCGAAGCCACAAAGUCAUAUUGUGGAACUUGGAAUUCAUUCAAGAUUGUCUACAAUAAAACACCUGCUUUCUGCUUUCUGAAACCCCAACAGUGGUGUAAAGAUGGAGUCUGGAUCUAUUGCUCAGGCUGGAGUACA